AGAGUUUGAUCCUGGCUCANAACGAACGCUGGCGGCAGGCUUAACACAUGCAAGUCGAACGAACCGUAUCUUUCGGGAUACAAUGGUUAGUGGCGCACGGGUGAGUAACGCGUGGGAACAUACACUAGAGUACGGAAUAACCCAAGGAAACUUGGGCUAAUACCGUAUACGCCCUAAGGGGGAAAGAUUUAUCGCUCUAGAAUUGGCCCGCGUCUGAUUAGGUUGUUGGUAGGGUAAUGGCCUACCAAGCUUACGAUCAGUAGCUGGUCUGAGAGGAUGAUCAGCCACACUGGGACUGAGACACGGCCCAGACUCCUACGGGAGGCAGCAGUGGGGAAUAUUGGACAAUGGGGGCAACCCUGAUCCAGCCAUGCCGCGUGAGUGAAGAAGGCCUUCGGGUUGUAAAGCUCUUUCAGCGGGGACGAUGAUGACGGUACCCGCAGAAGAAGCCCCGGCUAACUCCCUGCCAGCAACCGCGGUAAUACGGAGGGGGCUAGCGUUGUUCGGAAUUACUGGGCGUAAAGCGCACGUAGGCGGUGUGCAUAGUCAGAGGUGAAAGCCCGGGGCUCAACCCCGGAAUUGCCUUUGAUACUUGCAUACUAGAAUCCAUGAGAGGGUAGUGGAACUCCUAGUGUAGAGGUGAAAUUCGUAGAUAUUAGGAAGAACACCA
Molecule: ribosomal RNA, 670 nt
Filed under: uncultured marine bacterium
Lineage: Bacteria
Description: bacterial SSU rRNA
Rfam family: Bacterial small subunit ribosomal RNA
Source: RNAcentral